Long non-coding RNA from Sycon ciliatum, 609 nucleotides. RefSeq lists it as uncharacterized. The record is from RefSeq and is a predicted model, not a curated record. The transcript has 4 exons. Lineage: Eukaryota; Metazoa; Porifera; Calcarea; Leucosolenida; Sycettidae.
GUGAAGUGGACGCGCAGUCGGGCAUUGUCACCUGUCAAGCUGCAUUCCACUGGACCUGUCCUAACGGUCCAUGUCCCAGGAUCUCUGCAGAGCCAACACAGCCAGUGUGCGAAAACAAGGAAUUGAUCAACCUUGCCCAAUGUGAAGCGGGUACACCAACUUUGCCAAGCGGCUAUAACAGCAGUACGGCUGUCAUCGAUCCCACAACGUCCACAUUCCGCUGUGCUGAAGGCUAUUAUGCGCAAUGUACCGGCAAUGCAAUAUGUGCUGGAGGUCCUUUAAACCAUCCAGCCGUACCUCGUCAACAGGAUGGUGAACUAAUCUGGGCCAACCUUCCAACCUGCCAUCCAAUAUAUCCGAAUGACUGCAAAGACCCUGCAACAACCUGCCGGCCAGGUUCCUACUGUCAAAACGUGAAAGGCGGUCACAAUUGCCUGCAAUGCGGACACGGUAUAGGUACUGGGCGGGAAGACGUGGACGCAGAGUCCGGAUUUAUCUCCUGUAAAGCUGGAUUCCACUGGACCUGUCCUAACGGUCCAUGUCCCAGGAUCUCUGCGGAGCCAGCACCACCAGUGUGCGAGAACAAGGAAUUGAUCAACCUUGCUCAAU